GGGGGUGUGGCCAAACGGCAAAGGCGGCCGGCUUAAACCCGGCGACACCUGUGGGUUCGAAUCCCAUCACCCCCA
This 75-nucleotide transfer RNA is filed under the name Planctomycetota bacterium. RNAcentral's name for it is "Planctomycetes bacterium (groundwater metagenome) tRNA-Leu". It matches the Rfam family "tRNA". From Rfam's summary of the family: Transfer RNA (tRNA) molecules are approximately 80 nucleotides in length. Their secondary structure includes four short double-helical elements and three loops (D, anti-codon, and T loops). Further hydrogen bonds mediate the characteristic L-shaped molecular structure. tRNAs have two regions of fundamental functional importance: the anti-codon, which is responsible for specific mRNA codon recognition, and the 3' end, to which the tRNAs corresponding amino acid is attached (by aminoacyl-tRNA synthetases). tRNAs cope with the degeneracy of the genetic code in two manners: having more than one tRNA (with a specific anti-codon) for a particular amino acid; and 'wobble' base-pairing, i.e. permitting non-standard base-pairing at the 3rd anti-codon position. Lineage: Bacteria; Pseudomonadati; Planctomycetota. The record is from RNAcentral.